Non-coding RNA from Pogona vitticeps (central bearded dragon), 755 nucleotides. The record is from RefSeq and is a predicted model, not a curated record. Lineage: Eukaryota; Metazoa; Chordata; Lepidosauria; Squamata; Agamidae.
AUAUAGAGUUAGCCAAAGAUUCCUGAUUUUCAUCUGAAAGGAGAAUUAUAUUAAUCCUGAUUUGUAAAGCUGUCAAGGAAGAACAUGUGUUAAUGAGAAUAAGAAUUGAUUCCAGUCCUACCUCAAUGGGAGGAGUUAUGCAUAUUUUGGGUGUCACAACUGAGAGGUUUCUCUCCAUUGUGGACAUGUACUCUGGACCAAGUGUCCCCUUGUCAGGUUCCUUGUCAUGUGCCCAUUCUCACAUCAGUUGCAAGAUCAACCAUGCAACUGGUUACAAAACUGAGAAGUCACCGAAAUUGUGGGCCAUGAUGAUGCUUACAUGAUUCCCUUUCCAUACCACAUUUAGUAAAUAUUAGCCCUUUAUGUGUUUUGCUGGUCUGAUUGUAAAUAAAGAUUGUUUAAUUGAUAUUAGCCUAUUUACUCCAUAAAACAGAAGUGCAGCAGUUAUCUAUCACACCUCCUUUCCUGAUUUCAAACUUCAGUAAGCAGAGAGGAAGCUAAAUCUCCAGCAGUCAGAAGAGAGAACACAGACAACUGCCCCCUACUUUACAUGACUGGUUUAUAUUACAUUGAACAUUUUGCUGGGGGUCUCUUUUUUUUUUUCUUUUACACUCUUUAAUCACAUAUGUCAAGUCCUGAUUUCAAAACAUUCAUCAACUUCCUACCUUCAAUACGAGUACACCAAAUUAUGUCACUAGAAUAUGUACUGUUACCCUGAUUUCUAAUUAACAUUCUAUUUACUUGACAUUUUAAUC